GAGAGGGAGAGAGCGGCUUACGGCGGCAUCCAUUUGCCGCUGAGGAAAGUCCCCACACCGACCGGUUACGCAGCCGCAUUAACUUUGCGGGUGGCGAGAGUCACGGCUCUGACACAGAAACGAUACGUUGCGGGAGUAAGCUUGUGAUGCAGAGUAUGCUGAAGCGUCUGCAACUUCCGAUAACGAUGGAACGGUGAAUCCCUGCGGGUGCAAGUCAAACAGAGGCUUUAAGAAUAUUUCCGGGUUUGCCUCGGGUAUGGCGCGUCAGCUGAAUGCCGCAAAAAACAGAAUGGGGCUUACUACUCCCACUC
Molecule: RNase P RNA, 311 nt
Filed under: Methanomicrobium sp.
Lineage: Archaea; Methanobacteriati; Methanobacteriota; Methanomicrobia; Methanomicrobiales; Methanomicrobiaceae
Description: RNase P RNA component
Rfam family: Archaeal RNase P
About the family: Ribonuclease P (RNase P) is a ubiquitous endoribonuclease, found in archaea, bacteria and eukarya as well as chloroplasts and mitochondria. Its best characterised activity is the generation of mature 5'-ends of tRNAs by cleaving the 5'-leader elements of precursor-tRNAs.
Source: RNAcentral